GCGAUGUGAUGAUAGAAAUUCAAUGGUCUGUCAAUCCACUGAUAAAAUAGUUUGAUGUUAAAUUGAAGUUCCGACAGGUUCUGAUCGC
Gossypium hirsutum (cotton) is the source of this 88-nucleotide non-coding RNA. The record is from Rfam. Lineage: Eukaryota; Viridiplantae; Streptophyta; Magnoliopsida; Malvales; Malvaceae.